Molecule: small nuclear RNA, 98 nt
Filed under: Castor canadensis (American beaver)
Lineage: Eukaryota; Metazoa; Chordata; Mammalia; Rodentia; Castoridae
Source: RNAcentral
GUGCUUUGGUAGCACAUAUACAAAAACUGGAAUGACAGAGAUUAGCACAGUCUCUGUACAAGGAUGAGACAUAAAUUCAUGAAGCAUUCCAUAUUUUU